ACGCUCGACACCUACGAGAGGCAGCAGUGGGGAAUAUUGCACAAUGGGGGAAACCCUGAUGCAGCAACGCCGCGUGAAGGAAGACGGUUUUCGGAUUGUAAACUUCUGUUCUUAGUGAAGAUAGUGACGGUAGCUAAGGAGCAAGCCACGGCUAACUACGUGCCUGCAGCCGCGGUAAUCUGAGCGGGCUGGCAAGGC
Molecule: ribosomal RNA, 198 nt
Filed under: uncultured bacterium
Lineage: Bacteria
Description: partial 16S ribosomal RNA
Rfam family: Bacterial small subunit ribosomal RNA
Source: RNAcentral